AGGUGAUAUGAACCGUUAUAACCGGCGAUUUCCGAAUGGGGAAACCCAGUGUGUUUCGACACACUAUCAUUAACUGAAUCCAUAGGUUAAUGAGGCGAACCGGGGGAACUGAAACAUCUAAGUACCCCGAGGAAAAGAAAUCAACCGAGAUUCCCCCAGUAGCGGCGAGCGAACGGGGAGGAGCCCAGAGCCUGAAUCAGUGUGUGUGUUAGUGGAAGCGUCUGGAAAGGCGCGCGAUACAGGGUGACAGCCCCGUACACAAAAAUGCACAUGCUGUGAGCUCGAUGAGUAGGGCGGGACACGUGGUAUCCUGUCUGAAUAUGGGGGGACCAUCCUCCAAGGCUAAAUACUCCUGACUGACCGAUAGUGAACCAGUACCGUGAGGGAAAGGCGAAAAGAACCCCGGCGAGGGGAGUGAAAAAGAACCUGAAACCGUGUACGUACAAGCAGUGGGAGCCUCUUAAUGGGGUGACUGCGUACCUUUUGUAUAAUGGGUCAGCGACUUAUAUUCUGUAGCAAGGUUAACCGAAUAGGGGAGCCGAAGGGAAACCGAGUCUUAACUGGGCGUUAAGUUGCAGGGUAUAGACCCGAAACCCGGUGAUCUAGCCAUGGGCAGGUUGAAGGUUGGGUAACACUAACUGGAGGACCGAACCGACUAAUGUUGAAAAAUUAGCGGAUGACUUGUGGCUGGGGGUGAAAGGCCAAUCAAACCGGGAGAUAGCUGGUUCUCCCCGAAAGCUAUUUAGGUAGCGCCUCGUGAAUUCAUCUCCGGGGGUAGAGCACUGUUUCGGCAAGGGGGUCAUCCCGACUUACCAACCCGAUGCAAACUGCGAAUACCGGAGAAUGUUAUCACGGGAGACACACGGCGGGUGCUAACGUCCGUCGUGAAGAGGGAAACAACCCAGACCGCCAGCUAAGGUCCCAAAGUCAUGGUUAAGUGGGAAACGAUGUGGGAAGGCCCAGACAGCCAGGAUGUUGGCUUAGAAGCAGCCAUCAUUUAAAGAAAGCGUAAUAGCUCACUGGUCGAGUCGGCCUGCGCGGAAGAUGUAACGGGGCUAAACCAUGCACCGAAGCUGCGGCAGCGACACUAUGUGUUGUUGGGUAGGGGAGCGUUCUGUAAGCCUGUGAAGGUGGCCUGUGAGGGUUGCUGGAGGUAUCAGAAGUGCGAAUGCUGACAUAAGUAACGAUAAAGCGGGUGAAAAGCCCGCUCGCCGGAAGACCAAGGGUUCCUGUCCAACGUUAAUCGGGGCAGGGUGAGUCGACCCCUAAGGCGAGGCCGAAAGGCGUAGUCGAUGGGAAACAGGUUAAUAUUCCUGUACUUGGUGUUACUGCGAAGGGGGGACGGAGAAGGCUAUGUUGGCCGGGCGACGGUUGUCCCGGUUUAAGCGUGUAGGCUGGUUUUCCAGGCAAAUCCGGAAAACCAAGGCUGAGGCGUGAUGACGAGGCACUACGGUGCUGAAGUGACAAAUGCCCUGCUUCCAGGAAAAGCCUCUAAGCAUCAGGUAACAUCAAAUCGUACCCCAAACCGACACAGGUGGUCAGGUAGAGAAUACCAAGGCGCUUGAGAGAACUCGGGUGAAGGAACUAGGCAAAAUGGUGCCGUAACUUCGGGAGAAGGCACGCUGAUAUGUAGGUGAAGCGACUUGCUCGUGGAGCUGAAAUCAGUCGAAGAUACCAGCUGGCUGCAACUGUUUAUUAAAAACACAGCACUGUGCAAACACGAAAGUGGACGUAUACGGUGUGACGCCUGCCCGGUGCCGGAAGGUUAAUUGAUGGGGUUAGCGGUAACGCGAAGCUCUUGAUCGAAGCCCCGGUAAACGGCGGCCGUAACUAUAACGGUCCUAAGGUAGCGAAAUUCCUUGUCGGGUAAGUUCCGACCUGCACGAAUGGCGUAAUGAUGGCCAGGCUGUCUCCACCCGAGACUCAGUGAAAUUGAACUCGCUGUGAAGAUGCAGUGUACCCGCGGCAAGACGGAAAGACCCCGUGAACCUUUACUAUAGCUUGACACUGAACAUUGAGCCUUGAUGUGUAGGAUAGGUGGGAGGCUUUGAAGUGUGGACGCCAGUCUGCAUGGAGCCGACCUUGAAAUACCACCCUUUAAUGUUUGAUGUUCUAACGUUGGCCCCUAAUCGGGGUUGCGGACAGUGUCUGGUGGGUAGUUUGACUGGGGCGGUCUCCUCCUAAAGAGUAACGGAGGAGCACGAAGGUUGGCUAAUCCUGGUCGGACAUCAGGAGGUUAGUGCAAUGGCAUAAGCCAGCUUGACUGCGAGCGUGACGGCGCGAGCAGGUGCGAAAGCAGGUCAUAGUGAUCCGGUGGUUCUGAAUGGAAGGGCCAUCGCUCAACGGAUAAAAGGUACUCCGGGGAUAACAGGCUGAUACCGCCCAAGAGUUCAUAUCGACGGCGGUGUUUGGCACCUCGAUGUCGGCUCAUCACAUCCUGGGGCUGAAGUAGGUCCCAAGGGUAUGGCUGUUCGCCAUUUAAAGUGGUACGCGAGCUGGGUUUAGAACGUCGUGAGACAGUUCGGUCCCUAUCUGCCGUGGGCGCUGGAGAACUGAGGGGGGCUGCUCCUAGU
RNAcentral lists this ribosomal RNA (2573 nucleotides) under Escherichia coli. Its description in RNAcentral is "partial 23S ribosomal RNA". It matches the Rfam family "Bacterial large subunit ribosomal RNA", at positions 84 to 2682 of the family's 2925-position model. The record is from RNAcentral. Lineage: Bacteria; Pseudomonadati; Pseudomonadota; Gammaproteobacteria; Enterobacterales; Enterobacteriaceae.